UACGUAGGGUGCAAGCGUUAAUCGGAAUUACUGGGCGUAAAGCGUGCGCAGGCGGUUCUAUAAGACAGAUGUGAAAUCCCCGGGCUCAACCUGGGAACUGCAUUUGUGACUGUAGAGCUGGAGUGCGGCAGAGGGGGAUGGAAUUCCGGCGUGUAGCAGUGAAAUGCGUAGAGAUCAGGUGGAACACCGAUGGCGAAGGCAGCCUCCUGGACGGGUACUGACGCUGAGGCGCGAAAGCGUGGGGAGCGAACGGG
Molecule: ribosomal RNA, 254 nt
Filed under: uncultured bacterium
Lineage: Bacteria
Description: partial 16S ribosomal RNA
Rfam family: Bacterial small subunit ribosomal RNA
Source: RNAcentral